UCGUUCUUUUUUAGUGGUAGUAGAUAAGAGAUUGCAGAACAUGGGAGACACAACACCAAAAACGGUACGAGAAGAAGCGGACACACACACAUAUCAUGCUUUAUUUGUCCAAAAACACAUAUCAUGCUUUAUGGAGUGAUUUUAUGGUCAUUGAUGGCUUGUCCUUUGCAGACGCCGUAGUACAGUAGUAGCUUCGAGAGAAGAUGGACGGCAUGGCUCCUUGUGGCAUAUGUAACUCACGUCGCUUUUGUGAGCAAAGCAGCUACUGCUCCUAGGUCAAAAGUCCUUUCUCAGCCUCGCCGCUAUUUUUGUGCCUUCUCCAUAGAUCCACGCAGCGUUCGUCCGCGGAGCACCACUAUACAGAUAGAAACAAAAAUAGGAGGAGCAAAAGGUUAACAGCAGAGCAGCGACGCGUCACUCACCGCCGGCCAUCGAACUGCGCGAUCAUGGCUACAACCCCGCAGCAGCCUUGCGCGCGCCCUCUAGCAGCCGUAGUAGUAGUAGUAUAGUCCCGUUUAGAUCAAAAUGAAAUCUCUGUCACUGGCAAAAGCGAGCCCGAUCAGCACAGCCCGGUCGGCGCGUGGAAG
Molecule: long non-coding RNA, 587 nt
Filed under: Hordeum vulgare
Lineage: Eukaryota; Viridiplantae; Streptophyta; Magnoliopsida; Poales; Poaceae
Description: long non-coding RNA (HVUL_LNC001606)
Source: RNAcentral